AGUGAACGCUGGCGGUAGGCCUAACACAUGCAAGUCGAACGGCAGCACAGUAAGAGCUUGCUCUUACGGGUGGCGAGUGGCGGACGGGUGAGGAAUACAUCGGAAUCUACUUUUUCGUGGGGUAUAACGUAGGGAAACUUACGCUAAUACCGCAUACGACCUACGGGUGAAAGCAGGGGAUCUUCGGACCUUGCGCGAUUGAAUGAGCCGAUGUCGGAUUAGCUAGUUGGCGGGGUAAAGGCCCACCAAGGCGACGAUCCGUAGCUGGUCUGAGAGGAUGAUCAGCCACACUGGAACUGAGACACGGUCCAGACUCCUACGGGAGGCAGCAGUGGGGAAUAUUGGACAAUGGGCGCAAGCCUGAUCCAGCCAUACCGCGUGGGUGAAGAAGGCCUUCGGGUUGUAAAGCCCUUUUGUUGGGAAAGAAAAGCAGCAGGUUAAUACCCCGCUGUUCUGACGGUACCAAAAGAAUAAGCACCGGCUAACUUCGUG
This 492-nucleotide ribosomal RNA is filed under the name uncultured bacterium. RNAcentral describes it as "partial 16S ribosomal RNA". It matches the Rfam family "Bacterial small subunit ribosomal RNA", at positions 29 to 507 of the family's 1533-position model. The record is from RNAcentral.